Molecule: long non-coding RNA, 1144 nt
Filed under: Ictidomys tridecemlineatus (thirteen-lined ground squirrel)
Lineage: Eukaryota; Metazoa; Chordata; Mammalia; Rodentia; Sciuridae
Description: lncRNA (ENSSTOG00000030101.1)
Source: RNAcentral
UAUUCUUAGCCCUAUUUUGUAUUUUUAUUUAGAGGCAGAGCAUUCUUUCCAGCUCUUCAGCUCCUGAGUGGAAUACAGAAGGCUGAUCCUUCUUUUUACCCCUAUAAUAUUGUAAUAUAGGAUCAGAAGACAGGCAGCCAUGCCUACAAAAUUCACUUGAAAACUUCCUGUUUCAGUGAUUGUUGGGUAACCCAGAUGAUCUUUGAUAUGACAGGACAUAUCAGGAAGGAAACAAAGAGGUUCCGAGGAUCAGAACACAUACAACUUGGGGGACAUUAUACUACCUAUCACAAUGCGAGUCCAUGGAUGAGGAGAAGAGACAAAUUUCAACAGGAGAGUUGAGGAAAUAAGUGAGCCACAGGAAGCUCCAGAAUCCAGAGAAGAGUGACAACAUUCGGAGCUAGUGAGACAAAUAGUCUGCUGAUUACACACAGUUCCUUUAACAUCGGCAGUGACUUCGUUUCCCACUCCAGGAAACAUACCAGAAUGCCAGUGAGCAAGAAGGCUAACCUCAUGUCCUCUAACUAUAAAGAAAAGUAAAAUGAUUUGAAACCUUCAAAACUUGGAACAUUGCUAACAAACCAGUGUCAGGAUAUCAUGGUUCAGAGCUGUUGCUCCAGUGGAACACUUUUAAUAAAGAAAAGAAGUGAAAAACAGUAUCUGUACACUUCCACGGAAUUGUCCAGAGGCUGACUCUUGCCUGACUCUUGCCAAAGCUGAAAAAUCCCCUGGAAAUCUUCAGCUUUGCACUUAAUUACCACCUCCUUUGGCUGUUUCUCUUUUGCUGCUUUUCUCUUUCCCCUGUGAUUCCUUUCUUGUUGCCAAACACACUUUCCCUUCCAGACACCAUCUGCUUUCAGAACAUAUUUGCAUUUUCUUUUUCCUUCCCAAAGUGGCCCUUCUUUGGGGGCUAUGUUUCCCCUCACCAGACUGCUGCUAAGUUACUCCUUGGAUUGGUAGGAAGGCAGCCAUGGCUUGCAGAAUCAAAAUAGAGCUGGAACUCAACAGAGACAUUUUUCUGAACUUUGAUGUAUCCUUUGUGUUCUGGUGCACCUGCUCCCUUAAGAACCUCGGAGCCUAGGGAUUGGUGUGUAGCUGGCCUUUAAAAUAUUUUUUGUUUGUUAUUAAACUUCAGAGAAUUCCA